GAAGUGGAGCUGAGACAGACACAACUGGUCUAGCUGUGAAGGCAUUUGCUUACGAUGCUUCACUCGUUUCCUGGCUGUAUUAUUAGGUGCUACAGUAGCAAUUGUUAUUAUGCUUCAGUACAGAAGAGGAAGAGACUCAGCAUCUCCACCAGCUCCACCGGACCACUGACACCUCCAGCACCGGCGUCUCCACACCAACUGUGUCCUCACUCAAACUGCACUGGAAUCAGAAGAGGGAAUUCUGAGUGAGAGCAAUUGGUGGCAUCAUGGAUCAAAUGAUUAAUGUCCUUAGUGAUAUUAGUAAAACAAUAAAUGCACUUGUGAAUAAGUGAAUUCUGUCUUUGCUGUUGUGUCUGCAUUUGACUGCCUGUUUGUGUCUUUGGUUCAGGGUUUUGUUUUAUCCUGUUUCUGUGUUUUCACUUAUAUGGUUAUGGUGUGUCUUCUUAUUUCUGUGAUCGGCUCCCUAUCUGUGCCUUGUUGUUAAACGUCAUUGCGUUCUGUCCACAUUCCUUCCGUGGGUUGUCUCUGGGUUGUUAUCUUGGUUGGUGUCAGUAGUCCUUGUGGUUGAUCCUUGUCUGUCUGGUUUCUUCUGUCCUUGUCUCUUUUGUCAUUUGUCUCCUUGAUGUCUCAUGUGGCUUUCCCCCAUUCACACUUUAUCCAUUUUUGAGUUCCACGUUAGUUUUCUGCCUUUUGUUGAUGGAUUUAGUUGUAGUUUGUUUACUGCUUGAUUCCUUAUUUCGCUCUUCUUCAUGUCUGUUACAUCCGCCAAGGAAGUAAUAAAAUCCUCAGCAUUUAUUUCUUUAUGGCUGUCUGCCUGCCUGUUAGUAGGAUUACGUCAAAACUACUGCACAAAUUUUGAUGAUAUUUUCACCACA
Thalassophryne amazonica is the source of this 875-nucleotide long non-coding RNA. RefSeq lists it as uncharacterized. NCBI's taxonomy places the organism in Eukaryota, Metazoa, Chordata, Actinopteri, Batrachoidiformes, Batrachoididae. The transcript is spliced from 3 exons. The record is from RefSeq and is a predicted model, not a curated record.